This 328-nucleotide unclassified non-coding RNA is filed under the name soil metagenome. RNAcentral describes it as "partial contains 5.8S ribosomal RNA, internal transcribed spacer 2, and large subunit ribosomal RNA". The stretch from base 1 to 119 matches the Rfam family "5.8S ribosomal RNA", at positions 35 to 154 of the family's 154-position model. The record is from RNAcentral.
GAUGAAGAAGUAGUGAAAUGCGAUAAGUAGUGUGAAUUGCAGAAUUCAGUGAAUCAUCGAAUCUUUGAACGCACAUUGCGCCCCUUGGUAUCCCGAGGGGCAUGCCUGUUCGAGCGUCAUUUCACCACUCAAGCCUGGCUUGGUGUUGGGCGACGUCCCCUUUGGGGACGCGCCUCGAAACGCUCGGCGGCGUGGCACCGGCUUUAAGCGUAGCAGAAUCUUUCGCUUUGGAAGUCGGGGCCCCGUCUGCCGGAAGACCUACUCGCAAGGUUGACCUCGGAUCAGGCAGGGAUACCCGCUGAACUUAAGCAUAUCAAUAAGCGGAGGA